GCUGUAUUUCCCCCAUAGCCCUCUUCCUCCCCCUGCCGUCACCGAAGCGGAUGAAAACAAACAGUAAGGAUGGCGGCGCCGGGAAGCGACCGGCUGCUGGGAUGAAGGCAGGAGUGAUCACUUGAGCUGUGAGGGAAGCCCUGAAGAGCGCCUGUAGACGUGAGGGUGACUGUUGACUAGUGAAAAAAGGGAUCCAAGGUUCACGACUCUCUUACUGGCAGUGGAAUGACCUGUGGAAACCUGCGAUCCAUUCUCAUUAAGUAAAUCUCUGGAGUAAAUGUGAGCCAGUUUGUUGGAGAAGGCCUAUAUAUGCCCUUGGUUACAAAGAAGGGAGAAGAUUGUGAAUCACCACUACAUAGAAAAACAAUUAAGCUUCACAGUCUGUCAAUAGUCU
Long non-coding RNA from Physeter macrocephalus (sperm whale), 394 nucleotides. RefSeq lists it as uncharacterized. Lineage: Eukaryota; Metazoa; Chordata; Mammalia; Artiodactyla; Physeteridae. The transcript has 3 exons. The record is from RefSeq and is a predicted model, not a curated record.